UGGGGAAUUUUGGACAAUGGGCGAAAGCCUGAUCCAGCAAUGCCGCGUGUGUGAAGAAGGCCUUCGGGUUGUAAAGCACUUUUGUCCGGAAAGAAAUGGCUCUGGUUAAUACCUGGGGUCGAUGACGGUACCGGAAGAAUAAGGACCGGCUAACUACGUGCCAGCAGCCGCGGUAAUACGUAGGGUCCAAGCGUUAAUCGGAAUUACUGGGCUUAAAGCGUGCGCAGGCGGUUGUGCAAGACCGAUGUGAAAUCCCCGAGCUUAACUUGGGAAUUGCAUUGGUGACUGCACGGCUAGAGUGUGUCAGAGGGGGGUAGAAUUCCACGUGUAGCAGUGAAAUGCGUAGAGAUGUGGAGGAAUACCGAUGGCGAAGGCAGCCCCCUGGGAUAACACUGACGCUCAUGCACGAAAGCGUGGGGAGCAAACAGG
This 429-nucleotide ribosomal RNA is filed under the name Bacillota bacterium. RNAcentral describes it as "Firmicutes bacterium partial 16S ribosomal RNA". It matches the Rfam family "Bacterial small subunit ribosomal RNA", at positions 355 to 776 of the family's 1533-position model. The record is from RNAcentral. Lineage: Bacteria; Bacillati; Bacillota.